Long non-coding RNA from Balaenoptera ricei (Rice's whale), 861 nucleotides. RefSeq lists it as uncharacterized. The transcript has 7 exons. Lineage: Eukaryota; Metazoa; Chordata; Mammalia; Artiodactyla; Balaenopteridae. The record is from RefSeq and is a predicted model, not a curated record.
GGGCGCCGGAGCCACUUCCGGAGCAAAUGUCAAGCCUCGAGAGGGCGCCUGGAGCGGCGCGCGCGGCGCCGGCGGCUCGGCGGCCUGGGGAGGAAGAGGAGGAUCUUCUCUUUCAGUAGGAGUCACCGAAGUUAGAAGUUACUUGAAGUUACCUUGUAUUCAUCUCAGAAAGAAAGUACCCCCAGGCCGGUGGUGUGUUGAAGGUGACUUGUACGGUCUCAUUAAAAUUUGGUCUGGAGCCAAACCCACAGUAUCUCUAAGGACUCUUGUGACUACAUUGGGCAUACCUGGAUAAUUCCUAGCUUAAGGUGAUUGGCUUGAUCACUCCUUUUCGUAGUGAUGAUGCUUAGAAGUGGGAAAGUGUGGUUUCUCCUGUAGGGUCCAUGCCAUCAGCCAGAGGGAAAUAUGGCCCUUUACAGGUGUUAAAGGACUCAGCGCUGGUAAAUGGGACUCUUCGAUAUGGAUAUGGCUGAAUACCAACAACCCACACAAUCAAGCCUGGUUAAUAUAAAAACUUCAACUCUCCAAGCUUAACUAGGGGACGCGAGUUCGAACCCUGGUCUGGGAAGAGCCCACAUGCCGCGGAGCAACUAAGCCCGUGUGCCACAACUACUGAGCCUGCGUCCCACAACUACUGAAGCCCACACACCUAGAGCCCGUGCUCUGCAACAAGAGAAGCCACCGCAAUGGGAAGCCCAUGCACUGCAACGAAGAGUAGCCCCGCUCACUGCAACUAGAGAAAGCCCGCCUGCAGCAACGAAGACCCAACACGGCCAAUAAAUAAAUAAAUAAAUAAAUAAAUAAAUUUAAUUAAAAAGAAAAAGAAAAAAAGAAAGGAAAGGAUGUGUCAGAUCAUUAUAU